UUCUGAAUGAAAGACACCGUUCUCUUUAACAUGCCUAUGAGGUAGCUCACUGAGUGGCCCCUGACGUGUGGAGCCUAUCUGUAGCCUCCUCAGCUACUGGACUGACGGGUGUUAGGGCUGAAGAGGGCUCUGACAAAGAUAGGCCAGCGCAUGGCCGUUUCCUGCUGCCAAAGAAGACAGGCUUUCUCCCGGCUACGGGCAUGCACCGCAGACAUGGGGUUGUCUGUCUCAACGGCAUGGCUUGGAUACCGCAGUGUGGAGCUAGUGUGGGAUUUCCAGUGCUGCUGGGCCCUCUUGGGAUGAGCAGAGCCUCUGAGCUGCAAUUCUUGGCCCAUUUUGGGAAAUCUGAUGGAGUCUAUGGUUUCUCUCCCCCAGAGAAACACAACCCAGACUCAGCCGGAUAUAAGAGCCUGGCAUUUGGGGUAAAGGCCCUUGUGUUAGGGCACUAUGACUCUGUUCUCUUCUCACUUACUUUUUGGGCUUCCUGUUUGGUUUUGCCCUCCUUCCCUUUAGGACUGCAGACAUGGUGCCGGUGCUGUUGGGGCAGUGAUGGCGAGUUCCUGUGUCUGGGGUCAGCUGUCCUGGCGGUGACCGUGUGGAUGACAGGGGCAAGAGUCUCUUGGAAGGAGGUGACACAUUUACCUCCAUUUACGAGUGAGGAGCCAGAAGAAAGAGGGGAGCGAUGAGCUGAGGCCACAAAGCCAGGGAGCAAGAGAGCUUGGGUCUGGAGUUAAGUGGUCUGGUUUCCAAGUCCGAGCUCCCAGCCCUCCACCGCGCUGCCCGGGGCCUGGAGGAAACCCCGUGUGCUGAGCGGGUUUUCUGAACUGAAAAACCAGGAUGAGGAGAAUCAUCCAUUCAACACACGCAAAGCAUUUGUGCUGAUACCUAUUCUGGGCUUUGCUCUGUGUUAGGCUCAGCGUGCACCAGUGGAAAUAUGACAAGGUCCCUGCCGCAUGGGGCUUGGGAAUAGAACACGUGUUACUGGCUCAGCACUGGCCGCCAUCAUCAACGAGCAGAAAGAAGUCCCAUGCAGCUUCCGUGUCAACUGAUGUACUGUGACUCUCCCAUUCCUCAGCUUGUGUGGCCCUGACUCAUGGCUCAGGCUUCUGCAAGGCUCCAGCCUCGGGCCUUCCCUGUGAGACUCAGCAAACACUCACAGAGCGUCCAUCUGCGCGGGCACUUUGCAAAUGGCUCGCGUGCAAUGCUCACUCAAUCCUGGGAGAAAGGGGCAGGCCUGCUCAAGGUGUCUUAGCCACAAAGUGGCAGGGUAGGAUUCAAACCCAGGUCUGCUUCUGAGGCCAGAGGCCCCAGGAGAUGAGGCGGGGACCCUUGGUCC
Molecule: non-coding RNA, 1336 nt
Organism: Callorhinus ursinus (northern fur seal)
Lineage: Eukaryota; Metazoa; Chordata; Mammalia; Carnivora; Otariidae
Source: RefSeq, a predicted model, not a curated record